This 241-nucleotide ribosomal RNA is filed under the name uncultured bacterium. Its description in RNAcentral is "partial 16S ribosomal RNA". It matches the Rfam family "Bacterial small subunit ribosomal RNA", at positions 796 to 1041 of the family's 1533-position model. The record is from RNAcentral.
CACGCCCUAAACGAUGAUCACUCGAUGUGUGCGAUAUACUGUACGCGUCUAAGCGAAAGCAUUAAGUGAUCCACCUGGGGAGUACGACCGCAAGGUUGAAACUCAAAGGAAUUGACGGGGGCCCGCACAAGCGGAGGAGCAUGUGGUUUAAUUCGAUGAUACGCGAGGAACCUUACCAGGGCUUGAAAGUUAGUGAAGGAUGUGGAAACAUGUCCGUCAGCAAUGACACGAAACUAGGUGC